GUUUUUGUAGCUGUACUGUGUAGCCACGGUACUCAACUAGAUGAUUUUAUGAUACAUUUUUGUUAAUGUACUAAUGUCUUAUUCCAUUCCAGAAUGUUCGUAUGUAGACUGCCCCAUGAAACAGAAGUAUUCAGAAAGAAAAUUGUGGAAUCAUGAUGGACCAUAUCUGAAUACUGGGGAUAUGAAUGCUCAGGAAGGAGAAACCAGCAUAGUUACAUGUACCUACUUCCUGCUACCUAUGUGAAGCCAGGAGACGGAGCAGAUAUUAGAAGAUACUCACAUUCAAAAGUGCUCAGUGGGCUUGGAGACAGCACAGUGGUAAGUGUACAGGAUGACAGUGUAGAGGAGUAAAAAUGGAUCUGUUUAAGAGGUUUGCCUGAAGUGAGGAGAAAAUAACUUUGUCUCACAAGGACAGUUUGAUGUUAAGGCAUGUGCCAGCUUAGGCUUCUGGCAAGGAUGACAGAUUGCUGCCUCAGUUGCUAGCAAUAAUUAAACAAUGUACAGUUAAAGCCAACCUUGCCACUACAACCUCAUGACUGCAAAUCAGUUCCUCAGCAAAUACUGCUGUAUGGUUACCCUAACCUUCUCCUGUAAGUAACAGACAAGGUUAAGAUACUUUUUGAAGUCUGUAUGUGUUAAUUAUUGUUAGUUAUUAAGAUUUUGUUGUUUAAUAUGACUAAAUAACUGCCAACUGAUAGCAAGCUUUGAUUUUUUUAUUCUAAUGCAAAUUCUUUUCAGAGAAUAAUAACCAUGUCAAUUUAGAGAUUCCUUUUCUUGGAAACCUCUUGCUGUUAUAUCAUGAAAUGUAACACAAUUCUUUGUUCUGAAAUAUUCAUUUUUAUCCUAGAUACAAGGCUUUGGAUUUUAUACUUGCAGAUGCUGAACAUUACAAAAAAACUUGGGGCUACUCAUGUAGUUUUAUAUCUUAAAGUGAAGAGCUAAAGAGAUGGAGGACUGGAGAUGGAGUGUGCCUCUAAGAUUUUUCCAGUGACAUUUUGCCAAAUUUAAUACAACAGUUGAAUUUGACUGAAAGUAAGUCUUGAAAAUUCAUGACUUUUUGCACAUAGCUAUGUUCAGCUAGUAUUUAGAUAGAGCAUUGUUUUAGGAUUGUUUUUAAUUUAAAUAGUUCACCCUAAAUAAGUGAACUUAGAGAGAAUUCACCCUUAGAGGUCUGAGGCUUGUUGAAAAAUCUGUAUGAAUGAUCCAGAAAGCUCCUUGAGAAUCUCUCUUAAAAUUCUUAGGUG
This 1244-nucleotide long non-coding RNA is filed under the name Struthio camelus australis. Its description in RNAcentral is "lncRNA (ENSSCUG00000012553.1)". Lineage: Eukaryota; Metazoa; Chordata; Aves; Struthioniformes; Struthionidae. The record is from RNAcentral.